This is a long non-coding RNA of Sapajus apella (tufted capuchin), 394 nucleotides long. RefSeq lists it as uncharacterized. The record is from RefSeq and is a predicted model, not a curated record. NCBI's taxonomy places the organism in Eukaryota, Metazoa, Chordata, Mammalia, Primates, Cebidae. The transcript has 3 exons.
CCCAAAGUGCUGGAUUACAGGCAUGGGCUACUGCACCCAGCCUCACUCUGAGAUGUUAAAGUGCAUGAUUAGACUUUUCAGUAUUCAUGUAACUGGAGGCUUGGUAAAGGAAUAUAGUAAAUAUACUUUUUAUUUGUUAGUUUGUUUGACUGGUUGCCGAAGAGAGUGAAGUAGGGAGGCAGCAACCAAGAAUAAAGCAGUUUCCCCAAACCUCCUGCUCUCCAGUGAAAACAGAAUCUGAGGGGAACGGACCUAACGUUGCUAAUUUAAGAUUCCGAAGUUGUCACAGCAAUAUAUUUAAUUAGAUCUUAGAAAUUGGGACUAGGAAAAUCAAAAGAAGGAAGGAAGGGAGAAAAGAAAGGAAGGAAGGAAGGGAGAGAAGGAAGGAAGGGAG